This 248-nucleotide ribosomal RNA is filed under the name Clostridioides difficile. RNAcentral's name for it is "partial 23S ribosomal RNA". It matches the Rfam family "Bacterial large subunit ribosomal RNA", at positions 1793 to 2040 of the family's 2925-position model. Lineage: Bacteria; Bacillati; Bacillota; Clostridia; Peptostreptococcales; Peptostreptococcaceae. The record is from RNAcentral.
CAAGCGACUGUUUACCAAAAACAUAGGUUUCUGCUAAGUCGCAAGACGAUGUAUAGGAGCUGACGCCUGCCCGGUGCUGGAAGGUUAAGGGGAUCUGUUAGAGCAAUCGAAGCAGUGAACUUAAGCCCCAGUAAACGGCGGCCGUAACUAUAACGGUCCUAAGGUAGCGAAAUUCCUUGUCGGGUAAGUUCCGACCCGCACGAAAGGCGUAACGAUUUGGGCACUGUCUCAACAACAGACUCGGUGAA